This 113-nucleotide ribosomal RNA is filed under the name Bulimina sp. RNAcentral's name for it is "partial small subunit ribosomal RNA". Lineage: Eukaryota; Foraminifera; Rotaliida; Buliminidae. The record is from RNAcentral.
AUCUUACCGGGUCCGGACACACUGAGGAUUGACAGGCAAUAUUAGCACUUAGCUUCGGCGACGUGUUAUGUUAAAUAUGCUAGUCCUUUCAUGAUUAUGUGAUAGGUGGUGCA